AAAAAGAAAGACGUCUAGUCCCUAUGCAUCAACCUAAUCUGAUCAUUCUACAAAAAACUAUACAACCCGAGUGAUCUUCACACGCCCCACAAGAUCCUCCUAACAUAGCUCCAGUCAGGUGUGUCCAACUACAUUCCCAUCCACAGGGUACUAACCGGUAGGAUGGUCCUGGUUCUCAUCUGAGGGCAAAGCCCAGAUUUC
Molecule: long non-coding RNA, 201 nt
Filed under: Cicer arietinum (chickpea)
Lineage: Eukaryota; Viridiplantae; Streptophyta; Magnoliopsida; Fabales; Fabaceae
Description: long non-coding RNA (CARI_LNC001439)
Source: RNAcentral